This is an unclassified non-coding RNA of Otolemur garnettii (small-eared galago), 296 nucleotides long. Its record names the gene 7SK. It matches the Rfam family "7SK RNA". Rfam says of the family: 7SK was discovered as an abundant small nuclear RNA in the mid-70s but a possible function has only recently been suggested. Two independent studies have found that 7SK RNA binds the CDK9/cyclin T complex (known as elongation factor P-TEFb). NCBI's taxonomy places the organism in Eukaryota, Metazoa, Chordata, Mammalia, Primates, Galagidae. The record is from Ensembl.
GGGUGUGAGGGCGAUCUGGCUGUGACAUCUGUCACCCCAUUGAUGGCCAGGGUUGAAUCAGCUGAUCUGGCUGGCUAGGUGUCCCCUUCCUCCCUCACUGCUCCAUGUGCGUCCCUCCUGAAGCUGCAUGCUUGGUCGAAGAGGACGACCUUCCCGGAUAGAGGAGGACCGUUCUUCGGUCAAGGGUAUACAAGUAGCUGCACUCUCCUGCUAGAACCUCCAAACAAGCUUUUAAUAAAUGGUGCUGGAGAACUGGAUAACCACGUGUAAAAAACUGAAACUGGACCUGAACCUUU